RNAcentral lists this transfer RNA (63 nucleotides) under Cicadellidae sp. 'Neodcortus squaras'. RNAcentral's name for it is "tRNA-Ala". The record is from RNAcentral. Lineage: Eukaryota; Metazoa; Arthropoda; Insecta; Hemiptera; Cicadellidae.
AGGAUUAUAUUUAAUUAUAAUAUUUGGAUUGCAACCAAAAGGUAUUCCUAAGAAUUAAUCUUU